RNAcentral lists this ribosomal RNA (462 nucleotides) under uncultured bacterium. RNAcentral's name for it is "partial 16S ribosomal RNA". It matches the Rfam family "Bacterial small subunit ribosomal RNA", at positions 29 to 507 of the family's 1533-position model. The record is from RNAcentral.
ACGAACGCUGGCGGCGUGCUUAACACAUGCAAGUCGAACGGAAAGGCCUUUUCGGAGGUACUCGAGUGGCGAACGGGUGAGUAACACGUGGGUGAUCUGCCCUGCACUCUGGGAUAAGCCUGGGAAACUGGGUCUAAUACCGGAUAGGACCGCACUUUAGUGUGUGUGGUGGAAAGUUUUUUCGGUGUAGGAUGAGCCCGCGGCCUAUCAGCUUGUUGGUGGGGUAAUGGCCUACCAAGGCGGCGACGGGUAGCCGGACUGAGAGGUUGGUCGGCCACAUUUGGACUGAGAUACGGCCCAGACUCCUACGGGAGGCAGCAGUGGGGAAUAUUGCACAAUGGGCGCAAGCCUGAUGCAGCGACGCCGCGUGGGGGAUGACGGCCUUCGGGUUGUAAACUCCUUUCGCCAGGGACGAAGCGUUUUGUGACGGUACCUGGAGAAGAAGCACCGGCUAACUACGUG